UAGGGAAUCUUCGGCAAUGGACGAAAGUCUGACCGAGCAACGCCGCGUGAAUGAUGAAGGCCUUCGGGUUGUAAAAUUCUGUUAUCAGGGAAGAAAAGUUAGAGUAGGAAAUGGCUCUAGCGUGACGGUACGUGAUGAGAAAGCCACGGCUAACUACGUGCCAGCAGCCGCGGUAAUACGUAGGUGGCAAGCGUUAUCCGGAAUUAUUGGGCGUAAAGAGCGCGCAGGUGGUUGAUUAAGUCUGAUGUGAAAGCCCACGGCUUAACCGUGGAGGGUCAUUGGAAACUGGUCAACUUGAGUGCAGAAGAGGGAAGUGGAAUUCCAUGUGUAGCGGUGAAAUGCGUAGAGAUAUGGAGGAACACAGUGGCGAAGGCGGCUUCCUGGUCUGUAACUGACACUGAGGCGCGAAAGCGUGGGGAGCAAACAG
This 427-nucleotide ribosomal RNA is filed under the name uncultured bacterium. RNAcentral's name for it is "bacterial SSU rRNA". It matches the Rfam family "Bacterial small subunit ribosomal RNA", at positions 355 to 775 of the family's 1533-position model. The record is from RNAcentral.